RNAcentral lists this transfer RNA (72 nucleotides) under Schistosoma japonicum. RNAcentral describes it as "tRNA-Asp". The record is from RNAcentral. Lineage: Eukaryota; Metazoa; Platyhelminthes; Trematoda; Strigeidida; Schistosomatidae.
AGAUAGAUGGCUCAGUGGCUAGGGCGAUCGCCUAUCACUUACUAAAUCUUAGGUUCGAACACUACUCUACUA